RNAcentral lists this ribosomal RNA (250 nucleotides) under uncultured prokaryote. RNAcentral describes it as "partial 16S rRNA". It matches the Rfam family "Bacterial small subunit ribosomal RNA", at positions 525 to 775 of the family's 1533-position model. The record is from RNAcentral.
ACGUAGGGGGCAAGCGUUAUCCGGAAUUAUUGGGCGUAAAGAGUGCGUAGGUGGUUUUUUAAGCGAGAGGUGAAAGGCAAUAGAUUAACUAUUGUAAGCCUUGCGAACUGGAAGACUUGGGUGCAGGAGAGGAAAGUGGAAUUCGUAGUGUAGCGGUGAAAUGCUUAGAUAUUAGAAGGAACACCAAUGGCGAAGGCAGCUUUCUGGACUAUAACUGACGCUGAUGCACGAAAGCGUGGGGAUCAAACAG